This 504-nucleotide ribosomal RNA is filed under the name uncultured bacterium. RNAcentral describes it as "partial 16S ribosomal RNA". It matches the Rfam family "Bacterial small subunit ribosomal RNA", at positions 29 to 523 of the family's 1533-position model. The record is from RNAcentral.
AUUGAACGCUGGCGGCAGGCCUAACACAUGCAAGUCGAGCGGUAGCACAGAGAGCUUGCUCUCGGGUGACGAGCGGCGGACGGGUGAGUAAUGUCUGGGAAACUGCCUGAUGGAGGGGGAUAACUACUGGAAACGGUAGCUAAUACCGCAUAAUGUCGCAAGACCAAAGUGGGGGACCUUCGGGCCUCAUGCCAUCAGAUGUGCCCAGAUGGGAUUAGCUAGUAGGUGGGGUAACGGCUCACCUAGGCGGCGAUCCCUAGCUGGUCUGAGAGGAUGACCAGCCACACUGGAACGGGGACACGGUCCAGACUCCUACGGGAGGCAGCAGUGGGGAAUAUUGCACAAUGGGCGCAAGCCUGAUGCAGCCAUGCCGCGUGUAUGAAGAAGGCCUUCGGGUUGUAAAGUACUUUCAGCGGGGAGGAAGGCGAUAAGGUUAAUAACCUCGUCGAUUGACGUUACCCGCAGAAGAAGCACCGGCUAACUCCGUGCCAGCAGCCGCGGUAA